UGGGUGGUCCAGAUCUAAGUUGAGGGAUUUGAGCAAGAUCAAAUACUACCAGUGUAAUGAAUUAGGACAUCGAGUCAGAAAUUACCCAUAGCUCAAAGAUCGGAUGAAAGCUACUGUAGCAAUGGUCUAUGGUAGCAACACUGAUGAGACUAAUGAUUUGUAUAUGAUCUCUGAUGAGGAAUCUACUUCUUUUUUUUAGUAGAUUUUAGAUUCAGCUUGCUCGCAUCAUAUUUAUUAUAGAGAGGAGCUAUUUGACUUUCUAGAGAAU
RNAcentral lists this long non-coding RNA (268 nucleotides) under Elaeis guineensis (African oil palm). RNAcentral describes it as "long non-coding RNA (EGUI_LNC054355)". Lineage: Eukaryota; Viridiplantae; Streptophyta; Magnoliopsida; Arecales; Arecaceae. The record is from RNAcentral.